RNAcentral lists this ribosomal RNA (300 nucleotides) under Limosilactobacillus fermentum. RNAcentral describes it as "bacterial SSU rRNA". It matches the Rfam family "Bacterial small subunit ribosomal RNA", at positions 182 to 473 of the family's 1533-position model. The record is from RNAcentral. Lineage: Bacteria; Bacillati; Bacillota; Bacilli; Lactobacillales; Lactobacillaceae.
UUGUUCGCAUGAACAACGCUUAAAAGAUGGCUUCUCGCUAUCACUUCUGGAUGGACCUGCGGUGCAUUAGCUUGUUGGUGGGGUAACGGCCUACCAAGGCGAUGAUGCAUAGCCGAGUUGAGAGACUGAUCGGCCACAAUGGGACUGAGACACGGCCCAUACUCCUACGGGAGGCAGCAGUAGGGAAUCUUCCACAAUGGGCGCAAGCCUGAUGGAGCAACACCGCGUGAGUGAAGAAGGGUUUCGGCUCGUAAAGCUCUGUUGUUAAAGAAGAACACGUAUGAGAGUAACUGUUCAUAC